This 1107-nucleotide long non-coding RNA is filed under the name Canis lupus familiaris (dog). Its description in RNAcentral is "lncRNA (ENSCAFG00040000279.1)". Lineage: Eukaryota; Metazoa; Chordata; Mammalia; Carnivora; Canidae. The record is from RNAcentral.
GGCGACGACGGGCGAGUGCCGCGAGCAGCGAUAGCCGCCGCGGCCUCCGGUCCCCCCUCCGCCGCCUCCGCUGCCCCCCCUCGCUUCCCUCCUCCCACUUCCCGAGCUCCGGCGUGUCCCGGCCACGCUCGGUGCUACUGCAGGAACAAAGGAGGACCCCGCGGCGGCAGCGGCAGCGGCAGCGGCAGCGGCAGCGCCACCUCCGCCUCCGCCCCGCUCCCGGCCCGCGGCGGCCGCUCCGGGGCGCCCGGCUCGUCCCUCCCGGAGGCCUGGGCCCGGCCCCACCGCGCCGGCGUCGCGCGAGCCCGGCUCCUGCGCUCCUGCCCCCGCAGGGUGAGUGGUGCGGGGCGGGGGGAGGGCGCCCGGCGGCUCGUGCCGGGCCGGGGGGUGGGAGUGGGGGGCACCGGGCGGCCGCGGGCCCCUGGCGGAGCCUCCGGGGGCGGGGGGCCAGCCGGCCGGCUCAGGGAGCACAAAGACGGAGGCGUCAUCCUGCCGUCGUGGCCCGAGGUCCGGCGCCCCCGGCCCGCCCGCACCGGCUCCCGCUCCGGCCGGAGAACAAUGCCCGGCGUGUGGGCUCCGGGCCUCCUCCGCGGCCGCCCCGGCCGCCUUCGGCGCGGCGCCCGGCGUGGGCAGCCGGACCCGGAGAGACAAAGGGACCGCGGCGGCGGCCGCGCCCCCGGCCCCCUGCUCGCCGCACCCCCUCCCCCCCGCCCCCCAGGUCGCCGCCGCCGCCUCCGAGGAGCCGGUCCGAGCCGGUCGGAGCCGGGGGUCGGCGCGGGCCCGACCCGGCCUGCGGAGCUGCUGUUCUGCAUGACUCAGUGGUUUUUGGAGGAGGCCCUGCUGCUGGGCUCUCCCGAGCCAGGCCUCGGCUUAGAGAGGGGCAUGGGGGGACCGAUGGGGUCCGGGGCUUGUUCGGAAAUCCGCUGGAACGUGGCUGGGGGGAUCUUCUGUCGUCGUGGUUUUAGUUUUGCCAGCGUCGCUGCGUUUUUCGCCCGAGAUCCCUUCCAUGAAGGAAAUGGAGCACCUUCCCCUUUGUUUCGUGCAUUUAGGCUGGUGAACGUGAAAUUCUUGCUCGCUUUCCACGCACUCCGUGGAGCUGUGUUUUGA